AGCGAACGCUGGCGGCAGGCUUAACACAUGCAAGUCGAACGCAUCACUUCGGUGGUGAGUGGCAGACGGGUGAGUAACACGUGGGAACGUACCCUUCGAUCUGGGAUAACUUCGGGAAACUGGAGCUAAUACCGGAUACGCCCUUUUGGGGAAAGGUUUACUGUCGAAGGAUCGGCCCGCGUCUGAUUAGCUAGUUGGUGGGGUAACGGCCUACCAAGGCGACGAUCAGUAGCUGGUCUGAGAGGAUGAUCAGCCACACUGGGACUGAGACACGGCCCAGACUCCUACGGGAGGCAGCAGUGGGGAAUAUUGGACAAUGGGCGCAAGCCUGAUCCAGCCAUGCCGCGUGAGUGAUGAAGGCCUUAGGGUUGUAAAGCUCUUUUGUCCGGGACGAUAAUGACGGUACCGGAAGAAUAAGCCCCGGCUAACUUCGUGC
Molecule: ribosomal RNA, 436 nt
Filed under: uncultured bacterium
Lineage: Bacteria
Description: partial 16S ribosomal RNA
Rfam family: Bacterial small subunit ribosomal RNA
Source: RNAcentral